Molecule: ribosomal RNA, 1552 nt
Filed under: Escherichia coli
Lineage: Bacteria; Pseudomonadati; Pseudomonadota; Gammaproteobacteria; Enterobacterales; Enterobacteriaceae
Description: bacterial SSU rRNA
Rfam family: Bacterial small subunit ribosomal RNA
Source: RNAcentral
AAAUUGAAGAGUUUGAUCAUGGCUCAGAUUGAACGCUGGCGGCAGGCCUAACACAUGCAAGUCGAACGGUAACAGGAAGCAGCUUGCUGCUUUGCUGACGAGUGGCGGACGGGUGAGUAAUGUCUGGGAAACUGCCUGAUGGAGGGGGAUAACUACUGGAAACGGUAGCUAAUACCGCAUAAUGUCGCAAGACCAAAGAGGGGGACCUUCGGGCCUCUUGCCAUCGGAUGUGCCCAGAUGGGAUUAGCUAGUAGGUGGGGUAACGGCUCACCUAGGCGACGAUCCCUAGCUGGUCUGAGAGGAUGACCAGCCACACUGGAACUGAGACACGGUCCAGACUCCUACGGGAGGCAGCAGUGGGGAAUAUUGCACAAUGGGCGCAAGCCUGAUGCAGCCAUGCCGCGUGUAUGAAGAAGGCCUUCGGGUUGUAAAGUACUUUCAGCGGGGAGGAAGGGAGUAAAGUUAAUACCUUUGCUCAUUGACGUUACCCGCAGAAGAAGCACCGGCUAACUCCGUGCCAGCAGCCGCGGUAAUACGGAGGGUGCAAGCGUUAAUCGGAAUUACUGGGCGUAAAGCGCACGCAGGCGGUUUGUUAAGUCGGAUGUGAAAUCCCCGGGCUCAACCUGGGAACUGCAUCUGAUACUGGCAAGCUUGAGUCUCGUAGAGGGGGGUAGAAUUCCAGGUGUAGCGGUGAAAUGCGUAGAGAUCUGGAGGAAUACCGGUGGCGAAGGCGGCCCCCUGGACGAAGACUGACGCUCAGGUGCGAAAGCGUGGGGAGCAAACAGGAUUAGAUACCCUGGUAGUCCACGCCGUAAACGAUGUCGACUUGGAGGUUGUGCCCUUGAGGCGUGGCUUCCGGAGCUAACGCGUUAAGUCGACCGCCUGGGGAGUACGGCCGCAAGGUUAAAACUCAAAUGAAUUGACGGGGGCCCGCACAAGCGGUGGAGCAUGUGGUUUAAUUCGAUGCAACGCGAAGAACCUUACCUGGUCUUGACAUCCACGGAAGUUUUCAGAGAUGAGAAUGUGCCUUCGGGAACCGUGAGACAGGUGCUGCAUGGCUGUCGUCAGCUCGUGUUGUGAAAUGUUGGGUUAAGUCCCGCAACGAGCGCAACCCUUAUCCUUUGUUGCCAGCGGUUUGGCCGGGAACUCAAAGGAGACUGCCAGUGAUAAACUGGAGGAAGGUGGGGAUGACGUCAAGUCAUCAUGGCCCUUACGACCAGGGCUACACACGUGCUACAAUGGCGCAUACAAAGAGAAGCGACCUCGCGAGAGCAAGCGGACCUCAUAAAGUGCGUCGUAGUCCGGAUUGGAGUCUGCAACUCGACUCCAUGAAGUCGGAAUCGCUAGUAAUCGUGGAUCAGAAUGCCACGGUGAAUACGUUCCCGGGCCUUGUACACACCGCCCGUCACACCAUGGGAGUGGGUUGCAAAAGAAGUAGGUAGCUUAACCUUCGGGAGGGCGCUUACCACUUUGUGAUUCAUGACUGGGGUGAAGUCGUAACAAGGUAACCGUAGGGGAACCUGCGGUUGGAUCACCUCCUUACCUUAAAGAA